CGUAGGGUGCGAGCGUUGUCCGGAAUUAUUGGGCGUAAAGAGCUUGUAGGCGGUUUGUCGCGUCUGCCGUGAAAAUCCGGGGCUCAACCCCGGACUUGCGGUGGGUACGGGCGAGACUAGAGUGUGGUAGGGGAGGACUGGAAUUCCUGGUGUAGCGGUGAAUAGCGCAGAUAUCAGGAGGAACACCAAUGGCGAAGGCAGGUCUCUGGGCCACUACUGACGCUGAGAAGCGAAAGCGUGGGGGAGCGAACAGGAUU
This 257-nucleotide ribosomal RNA is filed under the name uncultured bacterium. RNAcentral describes it as "partial 16S ribosomal RNA". It matches the Rfam family "Bacterial small subunit ribosomal RNA", at positions 526 to 779 of the family's 1533-position model. The record is from RNAcentral.